Molecule: ribosomal RNA, 441 nt
Filed under: uncultured bacterium
Lineage: Bacteria
Description: partial 16S ribosomal RNA
Rfam family: Bacterial small subunit ribosomal RNA
Source: RNAcentral
CCUACGGGAGACAGCAGUGGGGAAUAUUGCACAAUGGGGGAAACCCUGAUGCAGCAACGCCGCGUGAGGGAGGAAGUAUUUCGGUAUGUAAAGCUCUAUCAGCAGGGAAGAGAAAAGAAGGUACCUGAAAAAGAAGCCCCGGCUAACUACGUGCCAGCAGCCGCGGUAAGACGUAGGGGGCAAGCGUUAUCCGGAUUUACUGGGUGUAAAGGGAGCGUCGAGGGAAAGGAAAGUCAGAAGUGAAAGCCCAAGGCUCAACCCUGGGACUGCUUUUGAAACUGUCAAACUAGAGUACGGGAGAGGUAAGCGGAAUUCCUAUUGUAGCGGUGAACUGCGUAGAUAUUAGGAGGAACACCAGUGGCGAAGGCGUCUUACUGGACCGAAACUGACGUUGAGGCUCGAAAGCGUGGGGAGCAAACAGGAUUAGAUACCCGUGUAGUC